This 1571-nucleotide long non-coding RNA is filed under the name Sus scrofa (pig). RNAcentral's name for it is "lncRNA (ENSSSCG00065001984.1)". Lineage: Eukaryota; Metazoa; Chordata; Mammalia; Artiodactyla; Suidae. The record is from RNAcentral.
UGCACCUAUAAAUAAACCCAACCCUUCGAUGCCGAAUAUGAACACGUCUUCACUGUACGUUUUGAUUAAGCAGCCACCAGGGAGAGAAGGUUCCACAACGCAGGUCCGGCUUGUGAAAUUCAGCGGAAAACGGUACCCAGCAGCACUGUGACGUGUGCCUGCCCCACUAAUUCCCCCAAAGAAGGGCGGUUCUUUACCAAACAGUAACAGUGCCCCGUUUGAAAAACGUCACGGUGCAUUCUGAGUACUAGUUGUGCAGGAGUGGAUAGAUUCUACACUAACAUGGAGCGCCUCUCCCAUCACAACUGCCACCCCUCCCCCCGGAUUGUACUUGAUCUGUUGGGUUGGACGUGGGAAGGAGCCACGGAGGUGGAGGCCCCGGUGUGAGCGCCCCGGUGUGAGCUCCGAGCUCACGGCUUUGCAGCCUGGAUGAGGGUCUCAGCGCAGAUCACCAGAGUCGGUCCCCCGACCCUUCCGUGUCGCCUGGGGGAUGCAGUUUAAUUGAAUAAAGGCUUAGUUGACUCAGCCCCCCGUGGUGAUGCCAGUGAGCUUGGUGCCUCUCAACACUGGCCGCAACACUGGCCGUGCUUUGGCCAAACCAGGAAGUCAGCCGGAGCCUCUGGCGGGUGGGUUGGCAGGCAGCUUGCGGUCUGCUUUUCUAACUUGCUUUCUUGCGAUCACUCCGCUGAGCUGGGAUGAUGUUUCAAUUUAGACUCCUGCGCAGUCAGGGCUCUUUAAGAGCCUCAUUGUCUGGGAGUGGGCGCCCUGCCUGUUACCGUGCUCUCCCCCUGCCUGUCCUCUCUUGGACACCACCGUGACAUUACUCACCGGCCAAGUGAGUUGUUAGUGUCCCCGGGCUGCGCUUGGCAGGCUUCCACUCUCACAGGAGCGGCAGCAGGUUUGCAGGGGAAGAUCUAGGCUCUCGAAAGGCAGGCCUGGUGCCUGUGAGCUUGGAGUCUUGGGGCUCCGUGUGAAUCUGUGUCCAUGGGAGAGCAGCCUCUCACAGCUGGUGCUGAAGAACACUGGAGUUUACAAGCAUCUACUCUCCAACCGUCUACUUACCCAGGCUUCUGCAGCUUUAGAGCAGGUUUGUCAUAUCUCCUGCAUGGAGGAAAAUUGCUUUCUGUAAAUCUUGGUCCAACAGAACAAAAACACCUAUUUCUUUCCAGUUGGGGAGACAGCCAUUCUCAUCGGCAUAAUGAAGGUAUUGUAAGCUGUGACUUUUACAAAGUCUGAGGGAAACCAAUCUGAAAUCUUGACAGAUAUGAUCUUUCCAGGAUGCACUGUUCGUUGACGGCGGUGAGAGACCUCAAUUAAUUUAUGAGCGAGGACAGCAGGAUGUGACCCCUUGUGCAUAGUCUAGGUGGAGCUGUCCCUGUCUGCAUUUAUGUUCUGGUAAUUUAAAAAGAUUUAUAUUAAGCUUUUCUUUCAUUUUGAGAGUAGAUUAAAAUUCUAAUGGAAACCAUUUGUAUGCAUUUGUUGAAUUGAAUAGUAUUUAUGGCUGUGUUAAAAAAACGCUGCAAAAUUCUGCCGAUAAUAAAGUCAGUGAAGCAAGAAUAAGUGUAAAAACA